Long non-coding RNA from Tripterygium wilfordii, 1054 nucleotides. RefSeq lists it as uncharacterized. The record is from RefSeq and is a predicted model, not a curated record. The transcript is spliced from 2 exons. Lineage: Eukaryota; Viridiplantae; Streptophyta; Magnoliopsida; Celastrales; Celastraceae.
CAUAUGUUGGCUAUUUUCAGCUUCAAACUCUUUCCUAAGUUGCAUGGGGAAUGCUCUAUCCGGUAACCAUGAAGUGAGAUUCCAGGUACCAAUGUCAAGGGUUUGGGUAUUGAAGACUUGGAGUGGAUUUGGGUUGGAAUUUAUAAUCGAGGUAAUCCUCUCCUGUUACUUCCCUUCGAGACUUGUGCAUUUAAUAUCCCUAUGACCUACUAAUGCUUUGGAAUUUAAUUUAAUGUUUACUUACAAUUAAAAAUGAGCAUCACCUGUUGUUACAAGUUAUGUUGAUUCUUUCAAAAUGUAACCAGAUGAAUAUUGUGCUGCUAAUUUAGUCGGGUCUUAAGCGGACAGGUUGUCUGACUGGCAGAGUUUUAUGUUCUUGCAUAAGGUAGUUUCUAGUACUUGGCUGGUUACUCUUGGUGGUUCACAGGUGAAGAAAUAAUGCUGUCAUAUUAUUUUUAUUGGGAAUGCAUUGUCUUUUCUUCAUGUGGCGUAACAUGCUAUUGCUCUGCCUUCUAGGAUUUAAACAUGGUUAUCCAUUGCUGAGUUGAGUCUGUUAGGUAUUAUUUAGUUUAUACUUUAUACCAUAAACUGAUGUUCAGAUAAAAACUGGAACUGAUGUUGAGUCUGUUAGGUAGGCAUAGUGAAUCCAUUGGUGGAUUAAUAUACCCCUCAGCAGCAACACUGGAAUUAAGAUAAAAGAACACAGUAGACUCAUAUUUCGGAUUACCAACUUGAUGAUGGAAUUUGUUUGCUAAGGAGAUUCUAUUUAUUAAAUGGAAGGGAUUCAAUUUACAUUGGACAUUUAGCGAAGGAUGUUGUAUCAUUAAAGCAUGAAGACAUUGGCGUGUGAGUUUUUACCUGGGGAGUGAUGAACAAGGAGUAGCACUCUGGCUAAUCAAGGACACAGGUAGGCAACUUUCUUUAGAGAGAAUUAAAACUUGAAAUUACAGGAUUAGACACUAAUGAAUGCAUGUCCCUCUAAAUGUGACGUGUUGAACUUUGAAACCCUGUGGUGGUUUAUUAAGACCUUAUGGGUACAAAAGCUUUCUUAGAC